Long non-coding RNA from Eriocheir sinensis (Chinese mitten crab), 2128 nucleotides. RefSeq lists it as uncharacterized. The transcript has 2 exons. The record is from RefSeq and is a predicted model, not a curated record. Lineage: Eukaryota; Metazoa; Arthropoda; Malacostraca; Decapoda; Varunidae.
UCAAGAUGCAACCCUCCGGGAUUCCAUCUUGAGAAACUGGUGAGGAACCAGGAGUAUGCUGUGGCAGCCUCAAUUGGUUUGGAGUGUUUGGUACUUUGAAGGAUACUGGAAUGUUGUGGGAUACCUUUAAGCGUGAAAUUCAAAGCUGCUGAGGAGAGCGUCCAAGGUAUAUCUCCAACGAAAUACAAAACAAAAAGUAUUUUUAAUUAAUUUUACUGCAAGAUUUUUUCAGCAGCAAAAUUAGUGCAAUAAACAUUUCAUACAAUAAAACUGCAGUAUGUACAGAAAGUUCACACAUCAUUCUCUCUCUCUCUCUCUCUCUCUCUCUCUCUCUCUCUCUCUCUCUCUCUCUCUCUCUCUCACAAAUGCAUAAAAUUUCAGCUUGGUCUGAUAGAUGGGAGAUGCCCUCUAAUAUAGAUAAGUGCCAGGUUCUUCAAGAUGGAACAAAAAAUAAGAGGUUAGAUUACGAUACGCAUGGCGUUAAAUUCAAAAGGGUUCAGUGCGUCAAGGACCUGGGUGUCAAAAUCGCGACAAACUUCAAAUUCUCACAGCAAUGCACUGAUGCAGCAAAUAAAGCGAACAGAAUGCUGGGCUUCAUUUAGAAACUUUUUAUUAAAAAACAAAGAUUUAAUACUCCUGCUACACAAUAGUUUAUUCAGACUGCACUUGGAAUACGCAGUACAGUUUUGGUCUCCCCAACAUGCAAAGGACAUUGCUAAAUUAGGUGUUCAGCGUUGGGCAAAAAAAAUUUAUCUUCCUUGCGUAACAAACCUUACGAUGAAAGGCUCUCAACUCUUAGCAUGUUUUCUCUUGAGAAAUGUCGCCUCCGAGAAAAAUUGAUAGAAUAUAUUUUAAAAUAUUUAAUGGCUUUACGAAUGUGGACAAAUCAAAAUUGUUUACGAUCGAUGACACUUUGCGAACGAGAAAUAAUGGCACAAAACUUAAAUGUAAACAAGUAUAUUCAGACUGCACCAAAUUUUUCUUUGUUGUAGUGCGAGAAUGGAAUAAGCUCCCACCUUCAGUGGUCUGGUGGAACACAAUUGACUCCUUUAAAAACAAGCUCAACCAACACUUCCUUCAACUUAAUAUUUACCAAAGUAGAAAUGCAAAGAUUUUGGCAUCAUUUGAUUAACAGAAUUUCACUUAGGUUUAAGGAGACAACCUAGUCUGGACCAUAGGGUCUGUGUGGUCUGAAUAUAUAUGUAAAUCACCCUAACAUUGCACUCAACACUGCUAACAUCCCCCCCUUCUCUCUCUCUCUCUCUCAUAAUUUAUAUUUUGUUGCAUCAUGGUUAUAAUGGCUGUGUCAAGAUGCAAAGUGAGUUCGUGGAAGCAAUCGGCUCGUGUCAGCUUGGGUCAGUUGGAGUGUUGCCGCUCUUGAGGGAUUUAACAUUUAUUUUGGUCAAGAAAAUAUCAUAUUUUUACUUAUAUUUCUUCAAACUAUCUUAUAAAUAUAGCUGUUACAUUCCUUACCCACCUUAGAACUGCAGUGAAAGUCAAUGAAAGUAAUAACAUUUUCUUCGCACCAAUGAAAAAUAUGUAUGCCACGUUUCUUUAUGCUGUAUUAAUACCUUAUGUAUGUGUUUAAUUUUCUUUGAUAUAUCAUAAUAUUUAAGUUAAAAUUGUAUUGGUAUGUGUUUUAUCUUAUUAGUGAUGCCUUUUACAUAUAUCACAGAAGUUACACAUUGCAGGCUUGGAAGACAUGGCAUGAUGGACAUUGUGUUGCCCCGCCUUGACCCCUUCCCAGCCCUCAUUUAGGAACAGUGCUUCUAUAGAAACGUAUCCCCCUACAGACUUGCAUCCUACUAGAAGGGACUUGGGAUGGAUAGGGCAGCUGCGUGGGAGCUUGCACAGGGGACUGUUGAGAGUGGAGUGACAUAUUACACAUCUGAGUGCCACGACCAAGAGUCAUUGGAUUCAAACAAGGGGUUCCCUGCUAGCAUUAGGACUGAGAUGGCACAACACGCUUUCUCUUGGUCCGACGCCGUGUGGUCUCCAUCAUUGGGUAUUGUGGGGAGAUCUCACGGAAUAUGUCUGCUUGCUCCUCCUCAGGAAUUGUAGCUCUGUUGAUGAAGCACAGAGAAAAAAUAUUAUACAAAAAUUCAAGAUAUUCAAAUUCAAAAUAGCA